Molecule: ribosomal RNA, 468 nt
Filed under: uncultured bacterium
Lineage: Bacteria
Description: partial 16S ribosomal RNA
Rfam family: Bacterial small subunit ribosomal RNA
Source: RNAcentral
GACGAACGCUGGCGGCGUGCUUAACACAUGCAAGUCGAACGGAAAGGCCCUGCUUUUGUGGGGUGCUCGAGUGGCGAACGGGUGAGUAACCCGUGAGUAAUCUGUCCUUGACUUUGGGAUAACUUAAGGAAACUGGGGCUAAUACCGGAUAGGAGCUCCUGCUGCAUGGUGGGGGCUGGAAAGUUUCGGCGGUUGGGGAUGGACUCGCGGCUUAUCAGCUUGUUGGUGGGGUAGUGGCUUACCAAGGCUUUGACGGGUAGCCGGCCUGAGAGGGUGACCGGCCACAUUGGGACUGAGAUACGGCCCAGACUCCUACGGGAGGCAGCAGUGGGGAAUAUUGCACAAUGGGCGGAAGCCUGAUGCAGCAACGCCGCGUGCGGGAUGACGGCCUUCGGGUUGUAAACCGCUUUCGCCUGUGACGAAGCGUGAGUGACGGUAAUGGGUAAAGAAGCACCGGCUAACUACGUG